This 467-nucleotide ribosomal RNA is filed under the name uncultured bacterium. RNAcentral's name for it is "partial 16S ribosomal RNA". It matches the Rfam family "Bacterial small subunit ribosomal RNA", at positions 28 to 506 of the family's 1533-position model. The record is from RNAcentral.
GACGAACGCUGGCGGCGUGCUUAACACAUGCAAGUCGAACGGAAAGGCCCUGCUUUUGUGGGGUGCUCGAGUGGCGAACGGGUGAGUAACACGUGAGUAACCUGCCCUUGACUUUGGGAUAACUUCAGGAAACUGGGGCUAAUACCGGAUAGGAGCUCCUGCUGCAUGGUGGGGGUUGGAAAGUUUCGGCGGUUGGGGAUGGACUCGCGGCUUAUCAGCUUGUUGGUGGGGUAGUGGCUUACCAAGGCUUUGGCGGGUAGCCGGCCUGGGAGGGUGACCGGCCACAUGGGGACUGAGAUACGGCCCAGACUCCUACGGGAGGCAGCAGUGGGGAAUAUUGCACAAUGGGCGGAAGCCGGAUGCAGCAACGCCGCGUGCGGGAUGACGGCCUUCGGGUGGUAAACCGCUUUCGCCUGUGACGAAGCGUGAGUGACGGUAAUGGGGAAAGAAGCACCGGCUAACUACGU